GGGUUGUGAGGUUAAGCGACUAAGCGUACACGGUGGAUGCCCUGGCAGUCAGAGGCGAUGAAGGACGUGCUAAUCUGCGAUAAGCGUCGGUAAGGUGAUAUGAACCGUUAUAACCGGCGAUUUCCGAAUGGGGAAACCCAGUGUGUUUCGACACACUAUCAUUAACUGAAUCCAUAGGUUAAUGAGGCGAACCGGGGGAACUGAAACAUCUAAGUACCCCGAGGAAAAGAAAUCAACCGAGAUUCCCCCAGUAGCGGCGAGCGAACGGGGAGGAGCCCAGAGCCUGAAUCAGUGUGUGUGUUAGUGGAAGCGUCUGGAAAGGCGCGCGAUACAGGGUGACAGCCCCGUACACAAAAAUGCACAUGCUGUGAGCUCGAUGAGUAGGGCGGGACACGUGGUAUCCUGUCUGAAUAUGGGGGGACCAUCCUCCAAGGCUAAAUACUCCUGACUGACCGAUAGUGAACCAGUACCGUGAGGGAAAGGCGAAAAGAACCCCGGCGAGGGGAGUGAAAAAGAACCUGAAACCGUGUACGUACAAGCAGUGGGAGCACGCUUAGGCGUGUGACUGCGUACCUUUUGUAUAAUGGGUCAGCGACUUAUAUUCUGUAGCAAGGUUAACCGAAUAGGGGAGCCGAAGGGAAACCGAGUCUUAACUGGGCGUUAAGUUGCAGGGUAUAGACCCGAAACCCGGUGAUCUAGCCAUGGGCAGGUUGAAGGUUGGGUAACACUAACUGGAGGACCGAACCGACUAAUGUUGAAAAAUUAGCGGAUGACUUGUGGCUGGGGGUGAAAGGCCAAUCAAACCGGGAGAUAGCUGGUUCUCCCCGAAAGCUAUUUAGGUAGCGCCUCGUGAAUUCAUCUCCGGGGGUAGAGCACUGUUUCGGCAAGGGGGUCAUCCCGACUUACCAACCCGAUGCAAACUGCGAAUACCGGAGAAUGUUAUCACGGGAGACACACGGCGGGUGCUAACGUCCGUCGUGAAGAGGGAAACAACCCAGACCGCCAGCUAAGGUCCCAAAGUCAUGGUUAAGUGGGAAACGAUGUGGGAAGGCCCAGACAGCCAGGAUGUUGGCUUAGAAGCAGCCAUCAUUUAAAGAAAGCGUAAUAGCUCACUGGUCGAGUCGGCCUGCGCGGAAGAUGUAACGGGGCUAAACCAUGCACCGAAGCUGCGGCAGCGACGCUUAUGCGUUGUUGGGUAGGGGAGCGUUCUGUAAGCCUGCGAAGGUGUGCUGUGAGGCACGCUGGAGGUAUCAGAAGUGCGAAUGCUGACAUAAGUAACGAUAAAGCGGGUGAAAAGCCCGCUCGCCGGAAGACCAAGGGUUCCUGUCCAACGUUAAUCGGGGCAGGGUGAGUCGACCCCUAAGGCGAGGCCGAAAGGCGUAGUCGAUGGGAAACAGGUUAAUAUUCCUGUACUUGGUGUUACUGCGAAGGGGGGACGGAGAAGGCUAUGUUGGCCGGGCGACGGUUGUCCCGGUUUAAGCGUGUAGGCUGGUUUUCCAGGCAAAUCCGGAAAAUCAAGGCUGAGGCGUGAUGACGAGGCACUACGGUGCUGAAGCAACAAAUGCCCUGCUUCCAGGAAAAGCCUCUAAGCAUCAGGUAACAUCAAAUCGUACCCCAAACCGACACAGGUGGUCAGGUAGAGAAUACCAAGGCGCUUGAGAGAACUCGGGUGAAGGAACUAGGCAAAAUGGUGCCGUAACUUCGGGAGAAGGCACGCUGAUAUGUAGGUGAAGUCCCUCGCGGAUGGAGCUGAAAUCAGUCGAAGAUACCAGCUGGCUGCAACUGUUUAUUAAAAACACAGCACUGUGCAAACACGAAAGUGGACGUAUACGGUGUGACGCCUGCCCGGUGCCGGAAGGUUAAUUGAUGGGGUUAGCGCAAGCGAAGCUCUUGAUCGAAGCCCCGGUAAACGGCGGCCGUAACUAUAACGGUCCUAAGGUAGCGAAAUUCCUUGUCGGGUAAGUUCCGACCUGCACGAAUGGCGUAAUGAUGGCCAGGCUGUCUCCACCCGAGACUCAGUGAAAUUGAACUCGCUGUGAAGAUGCAGUGUACCCGCGGCAAGACGGAAAGACCCCGUGAACCUUUACUAUAGCUUGACACUGAACAUUGAGCCUUGAUGUGUAGGAUAGGUGGGAGGCUUUGAAGUGUGGACGCCAGUCUGCAUGGAGCCGACCUUGAAAUACCACCCUUUAAUGUUUGAUGUUCUAACGUUGACCCGUGAUCCGGGUUGCGGACAGUGUCUGGUGGGUAGUUUGACUGGGGCGGUCUCCUCCUAAAGAGUAACGGAGGAGCACGAAGGUUGGCUAAUCCUGGUCGGACAUCAGGAGGUUAGUGCAAUGGCAUAAGCCAGCUUGACUGCGAGCGUGACGGCGCGAGCAGGUGCGAAAGCAGGUCAUAGUGAUCCGGUGGUUCUGAAUGGAAGGGCCAUCGCUCAACGGAUAAAAGGUACUCCGGGGAUAACAGGCUGAUACCGCCCAAGAGUUCAUAUCGACGGCGGUGUUUGGCACCUCGAUGUCGGCUCAUCACAUCCUGGGGCUGAAGUAGGUCCCAAGGGUAUGGCUGUUCGCCAUUUAAAGUGGUACGCGAGCUGGGUUUAGAACGUCGUGAGACAGUUCGGUCCCUAUCUGCCGUGGGCGCUGGAGAACUGAGGGGGGCUGCUCCUAGUACGAGAGGACCGGAGUGGACGCAUCACUGGUGUUCGGGUUGUCAUGCCAAUGGCACUGCCCGGUAGCUAAAUGCGGAAGAGAUAAGUGCUGAAAGCAUCUAAGCACGAAACUUGCCCCGAGAUGAGUUCUCCCUGACUCCUUGAGAGUCCUGAAGGAACGUUGAAGACGACGACGUUGAUAGGCCGGGUGUGUAAGCGCAGCGAUGCGUUGAGCUAACCGGUACUAAUGAACCGUGAGGCUUAACCUUACAACGCCGAAG
This 2925-nucleotide ribosomal RNA is filed under the name Escherichia coli. RNAcentral describes it as "bacterial LSU rRNA". It matches the Rfam family "Bacterial large subunit ribosomal RNA". Lineage: Bacteria; Pseudomonadati; Pseudomonadota; Gammaproteobacteria; Enterobacterales; Enterobacteriaceae. The record is from RNAcentral.